GUACCUAAAAAUAUAUACCUACUGCGAGUAGUUGGUUUUAUGAUGUGCAUAGGAGCAGAUGUUAAUAUUUUGUGGAAGUGGUAAAAACUGUCAGAGAAACACUCAACAAAACGGAAAAAAUUCUGUGUACAUUAUAGAGUAUGAGUACCUACUAUUCAGUAAUAAUAGACUUUGCUGAAGUGCCUACGACGUUGAUAAUCUAUAUUUUUAUCGAUAACAAAAAUCAAACAAAACAAACCGCAGACAUCGUAAUUUGGACUUAUUGUUCUUAUGUGGAAAAUAUUCAAUAAUAAUAAUAAUAAC
Long non-coding RNA from Aphis gossypii (cotton aphid), 303 nucleotides. RefSeq lists it as uncharacterized. The transcript is spliced from 3 exons. The record is from RefSeq and is a predicted model, not a curated record. Lineage: Eukaryota; Metazoa; Arthropoda; Insecta; Hemiptera; Aphididae.